ACCCUCGCAGCACGACGGACGUGCGGCGGUCUACGAAGCCGGCGGUUGAAGGUUCGAAUCCUUCCGGGGGUG
This 72-nucleotide transfer RNA is filed under the name Mycobacterium intracellulare. Its description in RNAcentral is "tRNA-Arg". It matches the Rfam family "tRNA". From Rfam's summary of the family: Transfer RNA (tRNA) molecules are approximately 80 nucleotides in length. Their secondary structure includes four short double-helical elements and three loops (D, anti-codon, and T loops). Further hydrogen bonds mediate the characteristic L-shaped molecular structure. tRNAs have two regions of fundamental functional importance: the anti-codon, which is responsible for specific mRNA codon recognition, and the 3' end, to which the tRNAs corresponding amino acid is attached (by aminoacyl-tRNA synthetases). tRNAs cope with the degeneracy of the genetic code in two manners: having more than one tRNA (with a specific anti-codon) for a particular amino acid; and 'wobble' base-pairing, i.e. permitting non-standard base-pairing at the 3rd anti-codon position. Lineage: Bacteria; Bacillati; Actinomycetota; Actinomycetes; Mycobacteriales; Mycobacteriaceae. The record is from RNAcentral.